UCUGUUGUAGUCUAGUUGGUCAGGAUAUUCGGCUCUCACCCGAAAGACUCGGGUUCAAGUCCCGGCAAUGGAA
This 73-nucleotide transfer RNA is filed under the name Macleaya cordata. It matches the Rfam family "tRNA". Rfam says of the family: Transfer RNA (tRNA) molecules are approximately 80 nucleotides in length. Their secondary structure includes four short double-helical elements and three loops (D, anti-codon, and T loops). The record is from Rfam by way of RNAcentral. Lineage: Eukaryota; Viridiplantae; Streptophyta; Magnoliopsida; Ranunculales; Papaveraceae.